AUCGAAUAUUAAUUAUUAAUUAAUUAAUAUUCUUUGAACGUUUAACCACAGAAUACGUUUUAAGUAAAUACUAUGUAAAUGUGUAUUAUUUUAAAUAUAAAUUUAAGGUUUAAACCAAUUAUUUCAAUGCAUAUGUAUUUUGUGAUAGUGUUUUAAUGUUGUAUUUUGGUUAAACAAUUUGAAUUUAAUUAAAAGUAUACUUCAAUCCAAUCAGCAAUAGUAUUAUGUGUAUGACAAUUAGUUUUCAUACUUUUCCGACAACUUUUUUUGUAUAAUUUAUUGUGGCAAUUCGUAGAAUUGGUGUAAUUAAUCAAAAAUAACAGUGAAAUAUAUGACUAGCUCAAUUUGACCAGCAAUUAAUGCAAAUUCAUAUUGCUUUCUACUGGUACCUAUCUGAUGACUAUAAAUUAAUAAAUAAAAUAAAAUUGGAAUAAAAGAAUAAAAUAUACAUAUAUCUAUAUUAUAUUUUAAUCUUUUAACAAACUAAACAAUCUAUUAUGAAAUUUAUUUUAUUUUAUUUCAAAUUCCAAUUGCAUUUAAUAGUACUAACUUUUAAUUCAAAUAUCUAUAACAAUAUUGGAUGAACAAAUACAAAUUGCUGUUUUGGUUAGCCACAGCAUAAUACAGUGAAACUUCUAAUUAACGGUCACCAAAGGGACCAUAAAUAAUGACCGCUAUUUAGAGGUAGCUGUCCUAUAGAGGUGACCAUUAACGGAAGUUUUACUGUACAUCUCACCUGAUAACUUAAUAAUUGCAUUCUGAUAAAAAAAAUAACAGUGCAGCAUCAAGACCAACUACUUCUAAAUUUGUAAAAAUUGUUGAUGAUCACAUUAAUAGUUAAUUGUAUGUUUAAAUAAUUAGGUUAAGUUAUUGGUACAUAACAUAAGUAGGGCGGCGCUUUCCAUUACCGCACAAAC
Long non-coding RNA from Rhopalosiphum padi (bird cherry-oat aphid), 917 nucleotides. RefSeq lists it as uncharacterized. The transcript is spliced from 4 exons. Lineage: Eukaryota; Metazoa; Arthropoda; Insecta; Hemiptera; Aphididae. The record is from RefSeq and is a predicted model, not a curated record.